GCCAGGCAUGGUGGCGGGCGCCUGUAGUCCCAGCUACUCAGGAGGCUGAGACAGGAGAAUUGCUUGAGCCCGGGAGGCGGAGGUUGCAGUGAGCCGAAAUCGUGCCACUGCACUCCAGCCUGGGCAACAGAGCGAGACUCUGUCUCAA
RNAcentral lists this non-coding RNA (148 nucleotides) under Homo sapiens (human). The record is from Rfam by way of RNAcentral. Lineage: Eukaryota; Metazoa; Chordata; Mammalia; Primates; Hominidae.